AAUUAUCAUAUUAGAAAACCCCUUUAAAAACGAUUGUAAAAAAUGCAAACCCUUUUUAAAAUACCUUGUAAAUCAUUCUACGCCACAUACUUAUGCUUUUUAACGAUUGUAAAUCAAGUUAAACACUUUUAAAAGCUUUUAAAAUCCCUUGUAAAUCAUUCUAUGCCACUAAGUUCUGCUUCUAAAACGAUUGUUAAUCAAUUAAACCCUUUUUAAUAGCUUUUAAAAUCCCUUGUAAAUCAUUCUAAUCCGUUAAAAACGAUUGCAAGUCAUGUAAAUCCUUUUUAAAAUACCUUGUAAAUCAUUCUUUACCACUUUCUAAUCUUUUAAAAUUGUUUAUAAACCAUGUAACCCUUUUUAAAAUCCCUUUCGUAAAUAACUUAAUGAUGCUUUAAAAACUAUAUGUAAUUCAUGGGUUACCAAUUUUACAAGGAUUUUUGGACAUACCGUUGUUGUUAUUGCUUUCCCUGGCGUCUCUAGGGUUGUAAACCACUUUGUAUCUACAAUAUUUCCCGCGAUUGAUAGUGGCCUACAACAACAAAACAGUCAACAAUGAUGCUUCUUCCAUUAUUAAAAAAAACUCACUAUCUUACUAACAAAACUCACUUGUUUUUCCUUGACUUCUUCUAUUCAGCCAAUUUCUCAAGUCUUGUGGCAUCAACUUUCGCAAAUGGAUGCAAAAUUGGAUGCUUCUUCUUCUCAGCUGUGAAAGGUGCUUGGGUAUGAAUGGAAGGAACCGUACCCCGCUUACUCUUUCUUUGCGGAGCGGGCUGAAAAUCAUCAUUGUCGCCAUCAUUAUCAGCGUUAUCACCAUCAUUGCCAAUAAUUUUCCUUUUCUUACUCUGUGCCUAUCAAAAAGAAUAAAAAAAACAGAUGUUUAAAAUACCUUGUAAACAAAAUUUUCAAAAUCAUAAUAAAUUAGAUACUAACCUCUUUCCUUGUUGGAACAUCAACAUCAGCACUAUCAACUUGUUUCUGCCUCUUUCUCGGCACCUAGAAUAGUAAAAAACACCAAUUAAAAGUACUUUUAAAAUCCCUUGUAAAUAUCAUAACAAGACAAUUGACAAAUUUUAAAAACAGUACUGUUGCAAAUACUAACCUGUUUUCUUGUUUUAAGAUUAUCCUCAGCAUGAACACUUGGUUUAACUCUCUUGUUCUGAAGUUGCAUGAAAGAUAAACUUUUAAAGAUUUGAAAAAAAUAUUAUAAACACUUGGUUAGAUAAUACAGUUUUUUUUUAAAUGCUAACCUCAUUUCUUCCUUUGCUAACUCUCUUCUUAUCCUUUUGAACAUCCAGACUUUCUUCAGACAAAAUAUUGAAAUUUGGUGUAGAGGAUCGUGGAGUAGGAGACUUAUCCUUGAAAAGAUAACAGAAUGUAAAAUUAUAAAAAGGAUACUAAUCAUUUUUGUAAGACUUUUAGAGAUAUAAAUUACUGUACUUUUGAUGAUUCUUCAGCUACUUCAUCACCAACAUCACGUUGGGUGUUUUCAUCAUCACCCGGAUAGCUCCCAUACUGUGUGUUUGGCUCUCGGAUUGAAUCUUCAAAUGAUUCAUUGUCAUUCUGCAACAAAAUAAAACCAAUAAGUCAAUCAUUAAUAUAAUUAGUAGACCUUUAAAAUAGCUUGUAAAGAUUUUCAAUUACCUCUGCUUUUCUUUCUAGUCCUCCUUCUUCUUCAGCCUGCGAAAAAAAAGAGUACAUUGUAAAGGUUUACUACGUAUUUUUAACCUUUAAAAUACAUUGUAAAACCUUUCCUUUCAAAUAGCUUUUAAAGAAACAUUUACAAUUACCUCUGGUUGUCUUUAUACUCCUUCAUCUUCUUGUUUUCUUUCUUCAUCUUCCUCAGAUCUCUGAUUAUUCUUUUCCUCCAUUCUAAUGUCCAAAAUCCUCUCAAUCAGCUCGACUCUCUUGUGAAGAUCUUCAAGGAUUGUCAAAAUCCUGUCAAGCUUCUCGCUAUCAGAUAUUUUGUUAUUGAUUUUGUUUUGACCUACUUCUUCAAGGGCAGCACAAACAUCAACGCAUCUUGUAUUCCAUUCAGUUUUCUUCAAUCUGUACCCCAUAUUAACAAGUCCCAAAAUAUGUUGGAAUUCUGUGUCGUCUGUGUGGAAAUCAGGAACUAAAGACUUGAAUUCUUCUGGGUUUCCAAUAAUUGUAUUCACCUCCAUCUGCGAAGAUACAAUAACAUUACAAAUCUUGAGAAAGCAGAACUUCAAAUCUAAAAACCAUUUAAAGAAUUCUGUAAAUAGACAAAAGCUUACCUCUGAAACAUCAUUUACAAGGUUUACGAUCUUGAAAAACUCUGGAGUAGUAGUGCUUUUCCACUUCAAUAUCAAUGGAUAUUCAGAUUGGAAUUCCUUAUCUUUAACUCCAUAUGCUGCACCAAAUGCUGGAACUGCGCUCAACACCCAUAUUGUUAGCGCUAGUCCAAAUCCUCUCAAACCAUAUUGAAUUUGAUAGAACACUUAAUGCUUCUUUACCCCACGGUUGGGCUGUGUACAUCUCAAAAUCAGAAGCAUGCUGCAAUCUUGGCAAAGGUAUCUUCUCUUUUCCAUAUGGUGUCAAAAGAAUUCCUUCAGUCAACACUACUGCAGCAAGACACAACUUUUCUUCAUCUUCAACAGCAGGUUCACCUUCCUUAGGUUUUAAAAACAAUCGAUCUUCGAGAUCACCAAGAGUCUAGGAUCCUUUACUAGCCCAAAAGUAUGGUUCUUUUACAGGAUCUUUCCCCUUUCGUCGAAGUUCCCUAUGAACAGGUUCACAUUGAAUUCCUGUAUGAACAAAAGACAGUGUAGAGACUAUUAUUACAGGUUUUAUAGUAAAUACUUUAAAAACGAUUGUAAAUCAUGUUUAACACUUUUAAAAGCUUUUAAAAGCUUUUAAAAUCCCUUAUAAAUCAUUCAAUGCCACUUACUUAUGCUUUAAAAACGAUUGUAAACCAUGCAGACACUUUUAAAAUCCCUUGUAAAUCAUUAUAUGACACUUACUUAUGCUUUAAAAACGAUUGUAAAUCAUGUUUAACCCUUCUAAAAGCUUUUAAAAUCCCUUGUAAAUCAUUCUAUUCAACUUACUUAUGCUUAAAAAACGAUUGCUAAUCAUGUUUAACCCUUAGAAAAGGUUUUAAAAUCCCUUGUAAAUAUUCUAUGCCACUUACUUAUGUUUUAAAAUCGAUUGUAAACUAUGCAAACACUUCUAAAAUCCCUUGUAAAUCGUUUUAAGACACUUACUUAUGCUUUUAAAAUCCCUUGUAAACGUGUUUAACACUUCUUUAAGCUUUUAAAAUCCCUUGUAAAUUAUUCUAUGCUAGUUACUUAUGCCUAAAAACGGUUGUAAACCAUGCAUACCCUUUUUAAAAUCCCUUGUAAAUCAUUCUCUGCCACUAACUUAUGCUUCUUAAACGAUUGUUAAUGAAGUAAACCCCUUUUAAAAGCUUUUAAAAUCCCUUGUAAAUUAUCUAUGA
This 3454-nucleotide small RNA is filed under the name Arabidopsis thaliana (thale cress). RNAcentral's name for it is "ATSL082950". Lineage: Eukaryota; Viridiplantae; Streptophyta; Magnoliopsida; Brassicales; Brassicaceae. The record is from RNAcentral.